AGAUUGAACGCUGGCGGCAGGCCUAACACAUGCAAGUCGAGCGGCAGCACGGGUACUUGUACCUGGUGGCGAGCGGCGGACGGGUGAGUAAUGCCUAGGAAUCUGCCUGGUAGUGGGGGAUAACGCUCGGAAACGGACGCUAAUACCGCAUACGUCCUACGGGAGAAAGCAGGGGACCUUCGGGCCUUGCGCUAUCAGAUGAGCCUAGGUCGGAUUAGCUAGUUGGUGAGGUAAUGGCUCACCAAGGCGACGAUCGUA
Molecule: ribosomal RNA, 258 nt
Filed under: uncultured soil bacterium
Lineage: Bacteria
Description: partial 16S ribosomal RNA
Rfam family: Bacterial small subunit ribosomal RNA
Source: RNAcentral